AGAUUAAGCAAAAAAGAGCGCAGGGUGGAUGCCUUGGCACUAAGAGCCGAAGAAAGACGUGAUAAGCUGCGAAAAGCUGCGGGGAGAUGCAAAUGAUCCUUGAUCCGCAGAUGUCUGAAUGGGGAAACCCGGUACGAAGAACUCGUAUCAUCCAUACGCCAAUCCAUAACGUAUGGAGGGGAACCCGGUGAACUGAAACAUCUAAGUAGCCGGAGGAAGAGAAAGAAACAUCGAUUUUGUUAGUAGCGGCGAGCGAAAGCGAAAGAGGCCAAACCGGAGUGCGUGCACUCCGGGGUUCGGACCGCAUUUAAGAUUCAGUGAUUCUAGCAGAAAGGUUUGGGAAAGCCUGCCGGAGAGGGUGAAAGCCCCGUAAGCGAAAGGAGAACUGACUGAGCGGGAUCCAGAGUACAUCGAGACACGAGAAACCUUGAUGGAAAGAGCGGGGACCACCCCGUAAGCCUAAAUACUACUUAGUGACCGAUAGCGCAUAGUACUGUGAAGGAAAGGUGAAAAGGACCCCGGGAGGGGAGUGAAAGAGAACCUGAAACCCUGUGUUUACAAGCUGUGGAAGUUCUUUAAAUGAACAACCGCGUACUUUUUGUAGAACGGUCCGGCGAGUUGCGGAUACUGGCAAGGUUAAGCACUUAAGGUGCGGAGCCGAAGGGAUACCAAGUCUUAACAGGGCGUUAAGUCAGUAUACGCAGACCCGAAACCGGGUGAUCUAUCCAUGUCCAGGUUGAAGUUGUCGUAAAAGACAAUGGAGGACCGAAGCCACAUCCGUUGAAAAGGGUGGGCAUGAGGUGUGGAUAGGGGAGAAAUUCCAAUCGAACCCGGAGAUAGCUGGUUCUCCUCGAAAUAGCUUUAGGGCUAGCCUCGAUUUAGUCUUAUGGAGGUAGAGCACUGAAUUUCCGCGGGGGCGUCAAAGCUUACCAAAGAAUAUCAAACUCCGAAUGCCAUGUAGAUGAUGAUCGGGAGUCAGACUGCACGAGAUAAGUUGGGCAGUCAAAAGGGAAAGAGCCCAGACCACCGGCUAAGGUCCCAAAGUGCGUGUUAAGUGGAAAAGGAUGUGGGAAUUCGAAGACAACUAGGAUGUUGGCUCAGAAGCA
RNAcentral lists this ribosomal RNA (1106 nucleotides) under Agathobacter rectalis. Its description in RNAcentral is "partial 23S ribosomal RNA". It matches the Rfam family "Bacterial large subunit ribosomal RNA", at positions 1 to 1114 of the family's 2925-position model. Lineage: Bacteria; Bacillati; Bacillota; Clostridia; Lachnospirales; Lachnospiraceae. The record is from RNAcentral.